RNAcentral lists this ribosomal RNA (253 nucleotides) under uncultured bacterium. Its description in RNAcentral is "partial 16S ribosomal RNA". It matches the Rfam family "Bacterial small subunit ribosomal RNA", at positions 524 to 776 of the family's 1533-position model. The record is from RNAcentral.
UACGUAGGGGGCGAGCGUUAUCCGGAUUCACUGGGUGUAAAGGGAGCGUAGACGGCCGAUCAAGUCUGGAGUGAAAGCCCGGGGCCCAACCCCGGGACUGCUCUGGAAACUGGUGGGCUAGAGUGCUGGAGAGGUAAGUGGAAUUCCUAGUGUAGCGGUGAAAUGCGUAGAUAUUAGGAGGAACACCAGUGGCGAAGGCGGCUUACUGGACAGUGACUGACGUAGAGGCUCGAAAGCGUGGGGAGCAAACAGG